AGUACUGGAUGACACGUUUGGUGUUCACAGUCUUUCCUGCACCGGAUUCUCCACUAUGGGUGAGUAUGGGAAAUAGACUCAGGUAUAAGGCAUGUUUUGGAUUUCAAGCUGCUCUUUGGUUUAGGUUAGAUGGCAUUGAUAUACUUACGUAAUCAAGACUGACUGGUUCUCACGAUCUACAAGAAUAAUUAGGAAAUGUGUUGUUUUAUGUUUUGUAACAAUGCAUAGUUUUCACUCCUAAAUAAUCACAUUACAUAACUAGCAAAUCUGUACAUGUAAAAUAUCCAAUUUCUAAUGACUCCUUAUUAUACUAAAAAUCACUUGAUUCUCUUUUUGGGUUAUUCAUACCUGUGUGCAUGAACUGAAAGGCAUUGUCAGAGAUGGAGAAGAUGUGGGGAGGAGCUUCAAUUCUCUUCUUGCCCCUGUAGCCGGACACAACAACAGCAUCGUACACUGGGAGCCACUUGUAGGGGUUCACAGUGACACAGAACAGCCCAGAGUAUGUCUGCAAUACAGAAAAUAAACAUUUAUUCAUACAUGUACUUAUUUAUAUGAAAGGACCGAUUUUGAAGAAAAACCAAUUAAACCGAUUUAAAAGAAAAACCUACGUAGAUCAUCCAGGCUGCGUAACGCUCUUUGAGGUUGAACAGCACAGCGGGCUCAUUGAGGUGGGUCAUCAUGGCCAUGUCCUCCAUUUUAUCGUACUUUGGAGGGUUCAUGGGGUGAAUGUCCUCCUCCUUAACUGUAAUGGUCUGAUUUAAGGAGACACAGAGAUUUGUCCCGAGAUAUAGGCAAAGUCACACAAUAGACCUUUAAAAUAAAAAUGAAUACAUGAAUCGCUUUACUUGCAAAACUGGUAGUGAUUACCAUAGUUCAAGUAGGACAUAUUUUAAAUUGUAAAUCUUAAUAAUUUGUGCUAAUGAUCUGUAAUUAAUCUGUUAGGUACACAGUUGUACUUACUUGGUUACACAAAGUCUUCACAGUGGCUUUGCCCCCCUCUCUACUUUGAAGAACCCCUUUGAGGUACAUCUCCUUUGGUUCAGCCACAAAAUAGGCCGUUUUGGCAUCAAAGGGUUUGUUCUGGGCUUCAAUCCUCUCUUUCUCUGGCUUCCGGAGGUAAAUGGACGCCGGGCCAAAACACUCCAUUUCCCCAUCACCCAUGAUGGCGGUUUACU
Long non-coding RNA from Brienomyrus brachyistius, 1175 nucleotides. RefSeq lists it as uncharacterized. The transcript has 2 exons. NCBI's taxonomy places the organism in Eukaryota, Metazoa, Chordata, Actinopteri, Osteoglossiformes, Mormyridae. The record is from RefSeq and is a predicted model, not a curated record.